AUUGAACGCUGGCGGCAUGCUUUACACAUGCAAGUCGAGCGGCAGCGCGGGGGGCAACCCUGGCGGCGAGCGGCGAACGGGUGAGGAAUACAUCGGAACGUGCCCGAGAGUGGGGGAUAACGCCGCGAAAGCGGCGCUAAUACCGCAUAUUCUCCGAGGAGGAAAGUGGGGGGACCGCAAGGCCUCACGCUCACGGAGCGGCCGAUGUCGGAUUAGCUAGUUGGUGGGGUAAAGGCUUACCAAGGCGACGAUCCGUAGCUGGUCUGAGAGGAUGAUCAGCCACACUGGGACUGAGACACGGCCCAGACUCCUACGGGAGGCAGCAGUGGGGAAUUUUGGACAAUGGGGGCAACCCUGAUCCAGCCAUGCCGCGUGC
RNAcentral lists this ribosomal RNA (376 nucleotides) under uncultured bacterium. Its description in RNAcentral is "bacterial SSU rRNA". It matches the Rfam family "Bacterial small subunit ribosomal RNA", at positions 28 to 404 of the family's 1533-position model. The record is from RNAcentral.